UCGUCCUCAGAUACUAAGAAAGUUUAAGUCAUUGGAAUUUCCUUGUCAUUAAAUGAAUUCUGACUAAGGCCAUCAAUGUUUUCAGGCUGUUUUUCUGCAGUGCUCUCUCAGUACGUUUCGGGAACUAUGGAUCGUCACAUUCCCAUGCAUGCCUUACCUGAAGAAAUCCAAAAGAUGUCUCCUGAAGAAACAGUUUGUAAAUACUGUGGCGUCAGCUAUCUAAUUCUUCAUGAAUUUAAGGCUAUGGAAGAAAAACUGAAAGCAGUGCAAGAAGAAAUGAAAUUUUAUCAAGGAAGUGUAGAACGAGAAAAGAAACUUCAAGAAAAGCUGCAGUCUCUUAGCCAGGAGUUUGAACAGUAUAAAAGUGCCAGCGAGUCCAAGAAGGCAAGGUCGGGAGUUCAAGAUGCAAGCAUGCAGUUAAAAAAGCAACAAAAUGAAUUUCAGAGUGUACAGAAAGAAUUAGGUCAUCUACAACUUGAGUUAAAAAUUAAACAAAAACAAUCCCAAGUCUUCAGUCAAAGAUUGUUGGAACACAAACACUUCUGGAAUAAGACUCUUUUAUUACUUACUUUCACUAAGAGGGAACUAACAAGUAUUAAAUAUGAGAUAGAUGAUAAUUUUCAAAACUGGACUGCACUGAAAGGAGAAGUUUUGCUACAAAUUAAAUCUAUAAGUGAUACAGCUUUGGCAGAGAUAGAUAUGUUAAAUAAAAGUCUAACAGUGUCCCAGAGAAAUAAGGUGUGCCUGGAAGAGGAAAUGAAAAGUCUCAAAUUGUUGUCAGAUGCAGCCAUAUUGAGGUCUCAGCAGAUGGAGGCAUCCAAACAGCAUGAAGUGAACUUGCAAGCCAGGUGCUAUGAGCUGCAGAAAGAAGCACUAGAUUUACAGUGUCAAGUAGAGGCACUUGGGUUGAGACUUCAGAAGACAGCAAAGGAGCUGGACAACUGUAAGGAGAUGCUCAUGAAAAAAUCUAAUGAUGCUGAAAGCUGUGAAAGAGAACUUAGAAAACUGAAGUUUGAAUCCAUUAUCUCUGAGUCAAGGCACAAAAGGCUACUUAAAGAAAAAGAAGACUCUUUAAUUACUUGCCAACAAUUAUAUAAAACCAUACAGGAAGAGCUGACAACAAAAGAAAGACAAGAGGAAGAUGUAAAACGAAGAAUCAACCUCACAGAAAAUGAACUAGAGAUCACUAAAUCUCUCCUGCUUCAGACACAGGAAGAAAUCUUAACACUGAAAAAUGAAAGGGAAUUGAUGCUGGUUUCUCAUCAGAAAAGCAUCGAGCAGCUGCAGGAAACCCUGAGACAGAAGCUGCUGAGCGAUGACAGCUGGAGGGAGAAGAUUGAAGCUGAGCUUAGCAAGGAAAGAGCCCGGCAUCUCAUUGAGUUCCAGGAUCAAGCUCUUCUCUUUAAGGAGGAAGCUAAACUGGAACUUGACAUUGAAAAAGAAAAGCACCAGGAAAUAAUCCGGAAGUAUCAGCAAGAACAUGAGGACCUGCAGAGGAAGAUAGGUGACCUAAUCGCAGAUGCUACAAAAGACCUGAGGCUGGAAGUGGCCUCUCUCCAAGAAAAACUCCAUGAAUCCCAUGCACGAUACACAGAAGAGUCUGAAUCAAAGAAAAAAGAAAUUGAAGACCUGAAAAAUCUGGUUGCAGAAUUCCAGUGUCGUUUGAAAAAGGAAACUGGCUAUGAUGAUUCAAUUUCCGAAGAGUUGAAGAAGGAAAUGAAACAGAAGUCAGACGAGCUGGAAAGAGUAAGGCUGGCCCAGACACAGCUGCUGCAGCAGUUCAACCAGUCACAGGAAGAGAACACUUUUCUCCAGGAAACCGUGCGCAGAGAGUGUGAAGAACGCUUUGAACUAACGGAGGCUUUGAGUCAAGCCAAAGAACAGCUCCUGGAGCUCAGGAGGAGCGGAGGAAACUUACCGUGUUCCCUCAAUAAGGGCACCCUAACCUACCCUGCCUCGGCAGUCAGUAAUCACCGCGAGCUAAGCAGUGGGAGACAGAACUGUGGACGAGGCACCGGCACACCCAGCCUGCGUGGACUGCCAAAACCCACAGCUUCCCCGACCCCAGAUAAGCUCAAGAAGCUCUUCUGCUGAGCCACAUCUCCCAUCCAUUCUCUGAAUGUUUUUAAUGAAGAAUGAAAGAAGAAAGAAAGAAGAAAGAAUGAAAGAAGCCAGUCAAUAACACACAACUGUGAUAACAGCACCAGGGAGGUAGAGGCAGGAGGAUCACUUGGGAAAUUAAAAUCUGUCUAGGGACUUCUGCCUAUCAUCCCAGCAGAUGAAAAGCUGAAGCAAGAAGAUGCUGAGUUCCAGGCCAGCAUGGACUACAGAAUGAGUUAUUGGCCAGGCUGAACUUUGAAACCCUGUCUUCCAAAGACUAUAAUGACAUAAGGAGAAGAACAGGAGGGAAAAAGGAAGAAAGACCUUUAUAGGAAAAAAGACAGUUGGCAGGUCCUUAUGUAGGACAUUAGUUAUUUUGAGACAAGUUCGACUAUUGUAGCCAAGCCUGAACUCCCGAUCUUCCUGCCUCAGCCUCCCAACUGCUGGAAUCACAGCUGUGUUCCAUCAUGCUGAUAAUUUUUUAUGUCUUAUUAGUUGGUGAAAAAAAACAGUUCAAUGUUUCAAAAACCUUUCU
Molecule: RNA transcript, 2635 nt
Organism: Mus caroli (Ryukyu mouse)
Lineage: Eukaryota; Metazoa; Chordata; Mammalia; Rodentia; Muridae
Gene: Lekr1
Gene name: leucine, glutamate and lysine rich 1
Source: RefSeq, a predicted model, not a curated record